This 316-nucleotide long non-coding RNA is filed under the name Homo sapiens (human). RNAcentral's name for it is "HSALNT0042790". Lineage: Eukaryota; Metazoa; Chordata; Mammalia; Primates; Hominidae. The record is from RNAcentral.
UCAAGUUACGGUUGCCAUACCUAGGAGAAAACAGACCCAGAACACAACUGUGAUGAGAUUCCUGAAGAAAAUUACAGGGCACAGUGAGAGUGUACAAGAUGGGAACCUAACUGGAUAAAGAGGUGGUGGUCAGAAUUUGAAAUUGUGCAGGCUUCCCUGAGAACGUGGUUGAGAUCUGUAGGACAAAGAAACUAGAAAACCAGAUUGUGGAAGUAGCAGUGCCAAGAGGCUAUUUAGGAAGACUUUUCUCCCCACCCACUCAUAAAAAUAACGUACUAGGGACAAGUGGCCUUACGCCCUCCAACUAAGCUUACCA